Molecule: non-coding RNA, 26 nt
Filed under: Homo sapiens (human)
Lineage: Eukaryota; Metazoa; Chordata; Mammalia; Primates; Hominidae
Source: RNAcentral
UCCUAGAUCACCACUGGAUUGCUGAC